CCCUUUAAGAGAGACGGGGGAGGGUCCGCAUCCAUAAAACAUGAGUUGAUUCAGUGGUCGCUGGGAGACGUGGUGAGGAGCGCCUCUGCACUCAGACCCAUCACUGUCGGAGCAUCCCCCGUCCGGCCGCUCGCCUCACACACAUGCUGACACAGCUCCGCCACGCGCCUCAGGACAUGGACCCGCACAGAAGGGAGGGAUAGAACCGGAGCCAGGGAGGACGGGGAGCGAGAAGACGAGGACAAGAAGAAGAAGAGGUUUACAGGGAUAAAGAAGAAGAAGAAGAUAAAAGAGAGGAAGAGACAGUGACCGGGUGCGUCCAGGCGGAGAAUGGGCAAUUCCUCCUUCCCAGGCAUGUCUCCUCUCUCUCCGUCCAUUCUGUAGUUGCAGGUCGAGAGAAGAGAAAGGGUCCCAUGAUCUCUGCCGGUGAUGCUGAGUUCCCUCGGGAUUACCACACCCUCGCCGGUAGCCGCGGGGCCCGGCGGUUCCCAGACAACUCCAAUGGGGGGUUCACGUCGUCCUCGCUGGACCGCCGCCACAACGCCGUGGCCGCCAAGAGCCUGGAGGCCCUGAACAGCAUCCACAAGGCGGACAUCGAGCGGCAGCGGGACGCCCUGGUGGACCUGCAGAAGAACAAGUUCUCCAACAGCCCGGGCAGCAUGUCGCAGGGCUCCCCCUCCGCCGGACGACAGCAACAGCCAAACUACUGGAGCUUCAAGACUCGAACGCCUCGCGUGACGCGCCUCAGCCCGACUCAGCCGGCGCUCGCCGACCAGGCCAACAGGGUUUCCUUCGCCUCAGCUGAGCAUCUGGAAACCAUGUCGGAGCCCGACGUCCCCAUCGGCUUCAACCGCAUGAACCGGCUCCGUCAGAGCCUCCCGCUGGCUCGCUCGUCCAGCCAGGCCAAGCUGCGGGCCCCAGGGAUCUUGUUCCUCCAGCUUGGGGAGGAGACGCGCAGAGUCCAUCUGACCCACGAGCUGACGAGCCUGGAGACUCUGAGGGCGCUCAUCGUGCACAUGUUCCCCCAGAGGCUCACCAUGGCCAUGCUCAGGUCCCCGAGCACGGCGCUGCUGAUCAAGGAUGAGACCCGGAACAUCUUCUACGAGCUGGAGGACCCGCGGGACGUCCAGGACCGCUGCGUCAUCAAGAUCUACUGCAAAGAGCCGGUGUACGGCACCUACCCCGGACACCACAGCCCCCACCUGGCCAACGGAGACCUGCGGAGGGAGAUGGUUUAUGCACCUCAGGAUUCUCCACCUAACCGUCGCCUCAGCAACCAGCCCCUGUCCUCCCAGCAUUCCUCCGCCUCUGCCUCGCCCCCCCAGGGGUCGCCGUCCCGCGCCCGCCUCCUCUACAGUGGCGGCGGCAGACCUUCGUCCUACGCUGGUCCCGCGCACCACACCCACUCCCUGCCGCACCCGCACUCCCAGUCCCACCACUCCUCUCCCCACCAGCAGCAGCAGCAGCAGCAGCAGCAACUCCACCAGUACCCCCAAAACCCCCACCACCCCCAGCAGGCCUUCUGCACCUCCUCCAGCGCCAUCCUGGAGCGCAGGGAUGUGAAGCCUGAUGAUGAAGUGGGCGGGUCCAGGACCAUGGUGCUGCUGCGGGGGGACGAUCGUGGUGGGGGGGGGAUCUACGCGGACCCCUACUCUCUGGGUCCUGAAGCAAGUCGGCUCAGUCUCGCUGGAGGUCCUCACUCCCCCCUCCCGGCCAGAGCCGACCCUUACGGCUCCUUGUACCGCCGCGGGGGAGGCGGCGGCGGCGGUGGGGGAGCCGGAUCAGUGCGUUCUCUCACCUCCUAUUCAGCCGCUGCUCUACAAGGGGAGCUGAUGGAGAGCGGUGUCCUCUACAGGCCGGGGGGGCCCCUCUACAACGACGCCUACGCUGCGUCUGUGUUGGCCAUGGGGCUGCGGGUGCCCCCCCCCUCCUCCCCACAGAAGAUCCCCGACAUGAGGGACUCCUACGCCGGCACCAUGCCCGGCCGCGGCUCCCCCGGCAGGCAGAGCUUGAGACGGGACUCUGUGACCUCCUCUGUGUUCGGGGACAGUCCCAAGGCCCGGGGCCAGGGGCCCUUAGGUCUCACCUCGGAGCAGCUCUGCCUGAUGGCCGGGCCCGGGGGCGAGGGGGGGAACUCCGGGGGCUUCGGCUCGCCGCUGCUGGGGAACGAGACGGAGACCAGGGAGCGUAUGGAGGCCAUGGAGAAGCAGAUAGCCAGUCUGACUGGGCUGCUGCAGAGAGUCCUGAGCAGAGCGCCGGAGGCCGAGAGCCCGGAGAAGAUCGAGUCGGCCAGCGACUGCUCGGGAACUGACACUGGACGAACUAAAAAAAAGAAAGCUCUGACUCCUUCUGCUCCUCUGGCCCUGAUGCCUCCUCCGUCGUCGGGCGCCAACCAGCCUGUGACGGUGUCUCGUCUCCAGAUGCAGCUCCACCUGCAGGGCCUGCAGCAGAACACCAACGCGCUGCGCAAACAGCUGUCGCAGCUGCGCGACAUGCAGCUGGAGAACCAGGACUCGGUCCUGACGCUGCUGAGGCAGACGGAGUCGGAGCUGAGCCUCAUGAUGCUGGACGCCAUGCGCACUCAGGAGGACCCGCUCCAGAGACAGCGCCUCCUGGUGGAGGAGGAGAGACUCAAGUACCUGAACCAGGAGGAGCUGCUCAUCCAGCAGCUGCAUGACCUGGAGAAAUCUGUGGAGGAGCUGCAGAGGAACUCGUCCAUCAACCACGGCCUGGUGACGGAGCAGGACGUGGAGCAGAAGAGCAAAGAGCUGAGGAUUCUGGGAGAGACGCUCAGUGAGCUGAAGAACCAGUUCCCCAGCCUGCAGAGUAAGAUGCGGGUGGUGCUGAGGGUGGAGGUGGAGGCCGUGAAGUUCCUGAAGGAGGAGCCCCACCGUCUGGACGCGCUGCUGAAGCGCUGCAACACCAUGACGGAUGCGCUCAGCUCGCUGCGCAGGUACGAGCCCGACUCCACUCCGACCAGUGUUUUGUAUCCCUCCUAUAUGUUCAGACAUGUCACCGAGGGCGUGUGGAAGAGCGCCGACGACCUCUCCGGCCAAACCAAGCGAUCGGAGGACCUGAGCCGCAGCUCGGACCUGGACAUCCUGAACAGCCCCCCGCUCAGCCUCAGCGACCUCAGCAGCAGCGCUGGCCUGGCCAACUGGAUGCCAGCGUCCGACCCAGACGCCUCGGGCCUGGAGCAGGACGUCCAGCCCGCCAUGAGCUUCAGAAACCGAGUCCUCGAUGAGCUGCCGUGUCGGCGUCCUCCCGACAAGUCCGUGUCAGCUGAAGUCCGACUGGCGGCCGAGCGGGACUGGGAGGAGAAACGUGCCAGCUUGACCCAGUUCAGCGCCCAGGACAUCAAUCGCCUGCUGGAGGAGACGCAGGCCGAGCUGAUGAAGGCCAUCCCCGACCUGGACUUCGCUGCCAAGCACAUCAACAAGCCGGCGGUGCCCCCCAAGCCCCAGAUCACCAUCCCAAUUACAUCCACCACGGCUACUUCAGCUGCAGCCGCUUCCACCGGCGCCACGGCCACCUCCACCACGACACCCGGCGGCGACCAGCAGCCUGGCAAAGUGCAGAUGGCGGCCCAGAAGCUGAACAGUAUGGAGGGGGGCGGUUCUCAUCGAGGGUCCGUCGACCUCAACGUGGCUCGGUACCGAGCAGAGAAACCCUCCAAGUCUCCGCCGCCGCCUCCGCCCCGACGGAGCUUCCCCUCGGCACACGGCCUCACCACCAACCGCACCGGGGAGGUCAUCGUCACCGCCAAGAACCUGAGGAUGGAGGACGAUGGCGACAUCCCCAAAACUCUGGUGAAGCUGAGGCGGACCCCGUCGGACACCCCCCGCCCCGCGUCCACGCCGCCUGUGAUCGCAGCGUCUGGGAUUCAGGACGAGGACGACGAAGAGAGGAUCAUAGCGGAGCUGGAGAUAUUUGAGAGAACGCCUGUAAAAGAUUGUAGUAAACGGCGCAGCAUCGCCGCCGCUCCUCCCCCGACCUCCAGGUCCAGAAAGAACAGCAGCAACUCCCCGGGGCCGACGAAGGGCUUCACCGUGGCAGCCAGACUCAAGCACCUCCAGCAGGGCAGCCUGGAACGGCCCAAGACCCGCAAGCAGAAAGAGGAUUUCCCCAAAGUCCAGGGCCAGCAGCAGGUAUUCCACUUCUAAACCCUCUGACGCCUGCUGAACGUUUUCCUCCUGCGACUCCUGCGACACGAGAGAAACUGUACGAAGACGAUUUGAGGUUACACAAACACCGGCGGGCGGAGCGAUCUGCAGAAACCUUGAUUUUUACCAGUUCUUGAUGUGCGUUCUGACCUUUGAGUUCCUGGAUCUCACCUCGCUUGCUCAGAGAUCAAGUUUUUUGUGGUGUGAGUUUGUCGUUGUCUUGAUUUCCAGAGGAAGGAUUUUGUUGGUGCUUGUGACCGAUGAGACGAGCUUCACUCUCACAGUCAGAUCCAUUCAGAGACGUCCUCCGCCUCCAUUUACUGCGACAUUAUCUCCAACGAUGCCACGGAAAGAUUUAUAUCUCAAGGUCAAAUGCUGAGCUUCAGCUGCAGAAACGCUGCCCGUCAUCAGUUUCCCUUCGCUGCUUUUUUCUCACAUCAUUUUGGCGCCGGUCUUUCUCUCUCUCUCUCUCUCUCUCUGUCUCUCUCUCUCUCUCUCUCUCUCUCUCUCUGCUCUCUCGCUCUCGCUCUCCAGCUUUGCCUCGCUCAUCCUCUGUCUGCCUCUCAGGUCUCAGCUGGACUUUUUACGUGAGGAGUGAGUCCUCGGAUCACUUGGACGUCUAGUUCAGACCUUGGAGGCGUGAGGCUUUGUCAUUCAAAAGAAUUAAUCUGACUCUGUGUGUUAGAGAUCGUCAGAUUAUCAGAGCAGCGAAAAACCUGAAGUCACCACACAUCAAUAGUUCUGGUUGAAAUGAUGUUUUCCUCGUCACACUUUAGAUCUGAUUCAUUUAACACAUUUAACCUCCUAUAAAGUCAUUGUUCAGAUUUUCAUAUUUAACAAAUCCACAUGAUAUCUGUGUCCCAGUUCCACACGAUGCACUGAUUCAGUUUAGUUUCUGUUGUGUGUCCCCGACUGGAAACAGGAAAGAAUUAAUGAUGCUAAAAAAUACGUACAUUUUUCAAUUGAUAAAUAUUUUAUUUCUAUUUUUAUAUUGUCAAAAAAGGUCAAACCUGUAGCGACCUGGUUAUUAUUCACUCACACUUUAGAAUGAACACUGGAUCCUACAUUUCCCAGAAUGCAUCUUGAGUUGUGUUAUAUUGUGUUAGUUUGCUUCAUGUACUAAUGAGAUGAUGAAAUAUUUUCCAAGGACGACUGUUUGAGAAACAGAUCCGUAAAUCUGAGGACGCAUCAGAGGCCAGAACACUGCACAACUUAAUCAUAACGGUCAGCAAAUUGUGAAUAUUUCUGAGACACUUUGAAGAUCUUAGAAACCAAAAAUGUGAUUAUUGGGAAAAAUAAAUAGCUAAUAUCUAUAUUCUCUUUUUGCACAAAAUGGAAAAGUCCACACAGUAUUAAGCUUUAUCAGGAAAACCACAUUUCCACAUAUAUGAGUAUAUGAAACUGGGACACAGCUCAUAUUUUACUCAGCAACAUGUAGAUAUUCAGAUUUAAACUCUUCCAAAGUGUUUUGUACUAAAGGUUCCAGUGACACCCUGGAUGUGCCGUGUUGGAAAUACAGAAAUACACGGUUGAGAGGUUUUGGCGGUGAAAUAUUAAAACUGUGACAUGGAACAAAUUCAAAACGACAAGAGAAAUAAUUCCUCACACAGGCUCUGUGCUGUUUGACAUUCGUGCCGGAGGGAAAUCUGACGGUGUGUGUGUGUGUGUGUGUGUGUGUGUGUGUGUGUGUGUGUGUGUGUGUGUGUGUGUGUGUGUGUGUGUGUGUGUGUGUGUGUGUGUGUGUGUGUGUGUGUGUGUGUGUGUGUGUGUGUGUGUUUAUUCCCCCGGCAGAGCUGAAAUUACACACAGUACACACUUAAUACAUUUAAGGAAUGUAUUCGUAGUCUCAGAAAUAGCAUUAAAAACUAGCACAAAAAUAGAAAAGCGCAGCAAAAGUAUAACCUGAAUCACGUCACAGAUAUAUUGUAUGUAUAUUAAAUGACCAUUUAGUUUUUUUUUCUUUUGAAGAGAUUGAUUUAUCAAAAUGUAAAAAAGAAAAGUGUCAUCUAUGUUUUAUAUAAUCAAGCUUUUUUUGUAUUUUUAUACUUGAAGAGGAUUCAUACACAUGUAACACAUUUAUUCUGUAAAUUAUUAUUUUUCUGCGUUAAAGAUUUAUUUUUUUCUGCGAACCGUGACCACGUCGUGUUGUAGAGAUCACAGAGACCAGUCGGCAGUGGGACGUUACCGUCACAUUUCUAAAAAGCACAUAACCUCCUUCCUCUAAAACCAUCACCUCACUGGUAGGAUCCCAUUUCGUUGCUGUUUCCCUCUAUUAUAACCACUAGUGAACGUGCACUACCCCGACUAUACAGUUUAAACUAUAUCGAUGGUUCCUUGAUGAAUGUGUGGUCGUUUGAAUCAUUUGUGGAUGUUUAAAAUCAUGUAUAUAAACCCAAAUAUUAUAUUACAGAACUGAUUUUAUGUGAGAUUUUUUUAAAACGUUGGAAAAAAGAAAUCCAACCUGGCAUGCAUACUGUAUACAUUCCUGGAAAUCUGCACGCUGGGUCAACAGAGGUCUCAUUAUCUUGUCAAUAAUUCUGUGUAUAACUGUGAGCGUAUGAUAGAGUAAACAAAAAUUGUACAGUAACCUAGAUUUUUGUAUUAUGUUGAAAAUGGGCCUGUAAAGGUCCUUUUACCGUCAGAAUAACGAAGAAGAGAAAAAAAGAAUAUUCUAACUACUGAGAAAGAUAUUUGAAUGAUAUUGUAUAUCGACUAAAUACCGAGAGUGAUGCUUGCUGUGUGGGGUAAGUGUUUGUUUGUGAAUCGUGAAGAAGAAUGAUAAUCUACUACAAAAGUCCGUAAUAUAACUAAAGACCAACUUAACAAGUGCAAAACAUCACGCAACUUUGUGUAUGGAAAGUAAAAGUUGCUGCUUCGUGUGAGAAAAAUCAACCAAAACCAAACGGUUGCUGCUUUUGUACGUUCCUGUUGUGGUUUUGUGACAAUAAAGGUGAUUCCUCUUAUACAUGA
Molecule: RNA transcript, 7133 nt
Organism: Hippoglossus stenolepis (Pacific halibut)
Lineage: Eukaryota; Metazoa; Chordata; Actinopteri; Pleuronectiformes; Pleuronectidae
Gene: srcin1b
Exons: 21
Source: RefSeq, a predicted model, not a curated record